This is a long non-coding RNA of Lactuca sativa (garden lettuce), 1337 nucleotides long. RefSeq lists it as uncharacterized. NCBI's taxonomy places the organism in Eukaryota, Viridiplantae, Streptophyta, Magnoliopsida, Asterales, Asteraceae. The record is from RefSeq and is a predicted model, not a curated record.
UCUGGCACACCGACUUAUGAAGCGGUUACAUAUGCUAGAUAUGCUUCAGUUUUUUUUAUGAUUGGUUUAAUUUUAAUUGCUUAUUUUGAAUUAGGAAAACAUUUUGAUUCUAUGCAACUUUUUGAAUGGUUUGUUUGUUCAAUUUGUUACAGGUGUAUCAAACUACUGAUGUUAGGCUAGGACAAUCCACAUGUGUAGGCAUUGGUGGGGGUCCUUUUAAUGGGAUCAACGUUGUUAACUGUAUGAGAAAAUUCAUUAGUGAUCCUUACAUAGAAGGCAACUCAUGAUUUCUAUUUAUCAAGUAUUAGCUUAUCUUUUCAUCUAUUCUUGCAUUGGAUUUGUGGUUUUGGGAACUCUUAUUUGGGAUUAUAUCAACUUUAUUAUAUGAGUUGCCUCUUGGUAUUCUUAGAUAGCAUUCUUAAACUCUUUGUUUUAUGAUGUCUUGCAGGUGAUAGAAAAAUGGGUUUCAAAAUUGAGCAAUUCAACUAUCUAAACUGCCAACAGAGUAGGGAGCCAUGACAGGUCGUGGAUGGAAGUGGUUUACAUCAGUUGUGGUCACCCACCAUAAUGCAAUCCAUUUUCCGAAUAAAUAAAAUUACGAUUCUUGGUUCAGCCACAUCGCCGAAGUAUAGCCUCUUCUCCAGGUUUUGUUGAGAUUUUUUUUUGUUCUUUUGUGAAUAUAUAUAAAACAUGAUUUCUAUCUUCCUGUAUUAUUUCUUAUUCAAGGUUUAGAUCUUAUUUUCUCCUAAAACCUCCCUUCAGCCCCUUCCAAAUAAAGGCACCCGAUUGGUAACCUUGGUUAAUGCAAGGUUGAAAUGAUCAUUUUUUUAUCUUUGGAGUUUUUCUUAUUCAUUUUUGUUCUAAAUAUGAUGUCCGUCUUUGUGCCUCAAAUUAGUUGUGAUUAAAACUAAUUUCCAACUUUCUUUACAGGACUUGAAUUUGAACAAUAGAUUGUAUGAGUUUGUGUUUCUGUUAAGACCAUAUUAAAUAUCUUGGCUCCUUGACUUGAUUGUUUUCAAUGACUCAUAGUCUGUGUGAGUUUUUUUCUAUAUAUAUAUUUUUUAUUUUUCUUAUAACUGCAGAUCAGUUUCAGCAGCUCAAGAUUUAGCUCCUGAAACAUUAGGUUUAAUAAUAACACAUCAACUGCUAGUUUUAGUAGAAACAACAACAAGAACAACAUAUGAUACGACAAUAGGAUCAACGGUUAAAAGGUAUACUUGUCUUUUUAUGAUGGGUCUUUAAUCAUAGAAAGUGUAUGUGGCUAUGUAUGUGUAUUGGAGACUCAUGAAUGUGAAAUUGUUAUUUACAUGCUAAGAAGAUAGUUACCCCUUAUGAUU